RNAcentral lists this transfer RNA (73 nucleotides) under Myotis brandtii (Brandt's bat). It matches the Rfam family "tRNA". From Rfam's summary of the family: Transfer RNA (tRNA) molecules are approximately 80 nucleotides in length. Their secondary structure includes four short double-helical elements and three loops (D, anti-codon, and T loops). Further hydrogen bonds mediate the characteristic L-shaped molecular structure. tRNAs have two regions of fundamental functional importance: the anti-codon, which is responsible for specific mRNA codon recognition, and the 3' end, to which the tRNAs corresponding amino acid is attached (by aminoacyl-tRNA synthetases). tRNAs cope with the degeneracy of the genetic code in two manners: having more than one tRNA (with a specific anti-codon) for a particular amino acid; and 'wobble' base-pairing, i.e. permitting non-standard base-pairing at the 3rd anti-codon position. Lineage: Eukaryota; Metazoa; Chordata; Mammalia; Chiroptera; Vespertilionidae. The record is from Rfam by way of RNAcentral.
GGCCUGGAAGCUCAGUUGGUUAGAGUGUUGGCCUGAUACACCAAGGUUUCAGGUUCAAUCCCUGGUCAGGGCA